RNAcentral lists this ribosomal RNA (254 nucleotides) under uncultured bacterium. RNAcentral describes it as "partial 16S ribosomal RNA". It matches the Rfam family "Bacterial small subunit ribosomal RNA", at positions 524 to 776 of the family's 1533-position model. The record is from RNAcentral.
UACGUAGGGUGCAAGCGUUGUCCGGAAUUAUUGGGCGUAAAGAGCUCGUAGGCGGUUUGUUGCGUCGGCUGUGAAAUCUCCAGGCUCAACCUGGAGGGGUCAUUCGAUACUGCCAUGACUAGAGGUCGGUAGGGGAGUGUGGAAUUCCUGGUGGAGCGGUGAAAUGCGCAGAUAUCAGGAGGAACACCCGUAGCGAAGGCGGCACUCUGGGCCGAUUCUGACACUGAGGAGCGAAAGCGUGGGGAGCGAACCGG